UACGAAGGGGGCUAGCGUUGCUCGGAAUUACUGGGCGUAAAGGGCGUGUAGGCGGUCAGGUAAGUGGGAUGUGAAAUGCCCCGGCUCACCCGGGGACCGGCAUCCCAUACUGCUUGGCUUGAGUACGGGAGAGGAUGUGGGAAUUCCUGGUGUAGCGGUGAAAUGCGUAGAUAUCAGGAGGAACACCGGUGGCGAAGGCGCACAUCUGGCCCGAUACUGACGCUGAGGCGCGAAAGCUAGGGGAGCAAACGGG
Molecule: ribosomal RNA, 253 nt
Filed under: uncultured bacterium
Lineage: Bacteria
Description: partial 16S ribosomal RNA
Rfam family: Bacterial small subunit ribosomal RNA
Source: RNAcentral